GUGGCCGGGGGGCUCUCUUGGUCCCGACACCCGGCGGGCUGCCCAACCGUCACCCUGCGCUUUUCGCUCUGUCGCCCAGGCUGGAGUGCAGUGGCACAAUCUCGGUUCACUGCAACCUCUGCCUCCCGGGUUCAAGCAGUUCUCUUGCCUCAGCCUCCCAAGUAACUGGUACUACAGUUUGUCCUCGGCUGUUACAGAGAAUUGAUACAAAAAAUGAUCAUGUGAAGAAUUUGCAUCUUCUGCAGAACUACCGGUAUCAGUCAGCAGUAGGAGAUUGUAUAAAUUCAGCCUGAGAUUCCAGAAUAUUCUGUGUAUUGACCACCACAGCAAGAAGAAAAAGUCCAUGUAGGACUGAAAUCUGUGGUACUUCUGCGGUGGCACUUCUUACACAAGUGAGAAGCAGCGACACCGUGACACCUGCACGCCGGAGCCCUGCGUUAGUGAGAAGCAGCGACACCGUGACACCUGCACGCCGGAGCCCUGCGUUAGUGAGAAGCAGCGACACCGUGACACCUGCACGCCGGAGCCCUGCGUUAGGCUGGGUAAGGGCGGGGACCUGGGCAUCACACAGUCUUAGAUGUGGGCCUGCCUCCAACAGCUCCCUCCUGGGUGUGAUGCUGAAGGGGGUCCUUGACACCUCUGAAGUCUCAGUCUCCUCAAGGUCACACCCAGCUUAUAGGAUUGUGCU
This 688-nucleotide long non-coding RNA is filed under the name Homo sapiens (human). RNAcentral describes it as "HSALNT0301469". The record is from RNAcentral. Lineage: Eukaryota; Metazoa; Chordata; Mammalia; Primates; Hominidae.